Long non-coding RNA from Pezoporus occidentalis (night parrot), 684 nucleotides. RefSeq lists it as uncharacterized. The record is from RefSeq and is a predicted model, not a curated record. Lineage: Eukaryota; Metazoa; Chordata; Aves; Psittaciformes; Psittacidae. The transcript has 2 exons.
AAACACAUCAUCAGAUGGACUCUGCAGAAUGGGUCAGAAAGGAAUAUGUUUUUAAAAGGUAUCUUCUGGGAUGAUUUUUGCAAACCCCAGCUGCUUUGGAAAUGGAAAGACAAGAUUCCAGGAUAAAGUGUCCUUCUGCCUGAUGCAUACCUGGAAGAGUUUGUUUGCCCCAAGAGAGAAGAAUGGUGACAUGACAAACCUGUGCUGAAGUUGCCACAGAAGUUCCUGUGAGCUGUUCCACACUGAUAGGUUUAGGUUAGGGGUGUUUUAGUAAAAAGUUUGAUUUUAUAUAGAGUAAAGUGUUAGAGAGAAGUGACUGAACCCGAAAUGUCAGAGGAAAUGAAGGAGCUAGGAGGAAAGGGAGUAGACCAGCGCUAUCUCCUCCAGCUUACCACACCAAAAAUGACACAGGUUUGACUGACAGUUAAAACAACUGCCCUGCUGCAUUUAACAGCCAUUUUCAACCACUGUCACAAGCACAAUGCAAAAACUGCUGACAAACGGCCUGGGGGAAUAAUAAGGAAAGACAGAAACUGGAAGAAGCCUUGACACAUCAAGGUUUCCCUGUGACAUGGGGAAAAGAGCCCAUAUGGUCAUGCGAAACUAGCUAAGGCCAUGUCUAUGGAAUUUGUUAAGGGUCUGGCUCUUUGUAGCACUUAAAUGCAUGCUUAGCUUGAAUUCACA